GGAGCUGCGGUCCAGUUUGGAGUGGACGCCUGGUUGUCAGCCAGGAGACCGAGGGUUCAAAUCCCUCCAGUUCCG
RNAcentral lists this transfer RNA (75 nucleotides) under Pricia sp. RNAcentral's name for it is "tRNA-Asp". It matches the Rfam family "tRNA". From Rfam's summary of the family: Transfer RNA (tRNA) molecules are approximately 80 nucleotides in length. Their secondary structure includes four short double-helical elements and three loops (D, anti-codon, and T loops). The record is from RNAcentral. Lineage: Bacteria; Pseudomonadati; Bacteroidota; Flavobacteriia; Flavobacteriales; Flavobacteriaceae.